UACAGAGGUCUCAAGCGUUGUUCGGAAUCACUGGGCGUAAAGGGUGCGUAGGCGGCGCGGUAAGUCAGAUGUGAAAUCCCGGGGCUCAACCCCGGAACUGCAUCCGAUACUGCCGUGCUAGAGGAUUGGAGAGGUAGCUGGAAUUCUUGGUGUAGCAGUGAAAUGCGUGGAGAUCAAGAGGAACACUCGUGGCGAAAGCGAGCUACUGGACAAUAUCUGACGCUGAGGCUCGAAGGCCAGGGUAGCGAAAGGG
RNAcentral lists this ribosomal RNA (253 nucleotides) under uncultured bacterium. Its description in RNAcentral is "partial 16S ribosomal RNA". It matches the Rfam family "Bacterial small subunit ribosomal RNA", at positions 524 to 776 of the family's 1533-position model. The record is from RNAcentral.